UGCUGCCUCAGAGGCGGUGAGCCGAGGGACGUACCACACAUCCGCAUCUUCCCGGUGCAAGAGGGUGUGUGGAAGUCGAACAGAGGUGGGGGGCGCUUGUGUGUGCGUGCGUGUUAGAGGUGCCGUUGAUCACAGGGCAGGUGGUAAGACAAGGCUUGCUUGCCCCCCCCCCCCUCCCCCCACUCCCCACUCCCCACUCCCUUCCCCACACGUGAGCUUACGGACUCUCUCGCUGUGCACGUACAUGAAGUCGCUGGACACCUCUAACUCGCCUUGUUUUUUUUUUUUCUGUUCCCUCCCCCCGCCUACGACGACUGACCACACACAUACACCCACAGGCACGCACGCCAGUCAUCGAGUGCCACAAUGAUGAAGCCAUCGGCACUCGAUCGCAUCCACGUGCGCGAGGAUGAUCCCAAGGAGCUGUUUGAGAUUGUUGAAAGCGUUGGCAUCGGCAACUUUGGUGUCGUUCUCAAGGCCCGCAACCGCGCCACUGACGACAUCGUUGCUAUCAAGCAGGUCCCGCUCAGCGACACGGACAAGGAGGAUCUGGACACCAUUGUGAAGGAGGUGGAGAUCCUGCAGGAGUGUGACCACCCAAACAUCGUGCGCUUCUAUGGCACGUACCAUUCGAUGGGGGUCCUGUGGAUCGUCAUGGAAUACUGCGAGGGCGGCUCUGUGGACACGGCAUACGACCUGCUGCGCCGUCCGCUCUCGGAGCCGCUCAUCGCGUACGUGUGCCGCCAGACCCUCCUCGGCCUGCGCUACCUGCACGAGCGUCACGUCAUUCAUCGCGAUAUUAAGGGCAGCAACUUACUGCUCACCAAAAACGGCCAGGUGAAGCUGGCGGACUUUGGCGUUAGCACGGAGCUCAAGCACACGCUGUCGCGGCGCAACUCCUUCAUCGGCACGGCGCUCUGGAUGGCGCCGGAGGCCCUCACGGAGAAGGACUACGAUAGCCGCGCCGACAUGUGGUCUUUGGGGAUUACCACGAUCGAGCUGGCGGAGGGGCAGCCGCCGUACCUCGGCAUGCACAUUGCCCGCGCUGUCUUCUUCAUCCCUCUCAACGAUCCGCCAACUCUGCAGGCCAAGGAGCGCUGGUCGCCGCAGAUGAACAUGUUCAUCCGCCGCCUGCUAACCAAGGACAAGGAGCUGCGCCCCUCUGCGGCCACGAUGUUGAUGGACCCCUUUGUGGAUCCUUCCGCCGUCGCCUCGCAAGAGGAGAUGGCCGCAGUUGUGGAGCAGCUCCUCACGCGGCGCCGUUCCAUGGAUGAGCGGCGGGACGGCAACAACAAGGGCAGCAACACUUCGGCCAUGACGAUAGUCACACGGACGUCUUCCGUGGUGGGAGCCAUCGAAGGCGCGGGCGAAGAGGAGGGCGAGGGGGUCGCCGCCAUCCCUACCGACGAGGCGGCUGCCCAGUGGAUCGACGAGCACGUGGCGCCGCAGCGAAGAGCUUCGCCAGCUGCUGGUCGGGUAGUUGCGAGAGGUGGUGGAGGGGCCGUGGCUGCAGGGGCUGCCGCUGGCGACCGCGGUGCCCCGCUUGGUGGGCGGCUGAUGCUGCUGCCGCUGCUGCACCUGGAGGACAUGUCCUUUGACGCACUGAGCGGGGGUGGCCGUACCCUGUUCUGCGGCAGCACCGCUGGCGUCAGUGGCUGCGCCGGUACUGUAGGAGGGGCGACGCUGUCGUCCGGUGGCGCGGCAAACGGUGCCGCGGGGGGCGGGCCACGUGUAGGUGGGCCCGGGGCCGCACAGGCGGCGCUAGACGGCGCCUACACGGGAGAGGGCAACGGCAGCACAACCAUGAUGGCCAGCGUGAACCGUUACUGUCACCCGUCGCACCUGUUGCCCACAUCGGGCGGCGGUGGCGUCACCCCGAUGGUGUCUGCGUUCCCUCCGGUGUACGGGCCGCCUUCCCACGAGGCCAGAAUGGCGGCCGCGGCUGCCCAUGGCGACGCGCUAGCCGAAUCGCUCCACUUGCUGGGCUACAGUGCCGAGGGUGUCUCCCCACUGUAUCUCCGCUGCUUCGAGACGACCACGCUGAACACGGUGCGGGAAGUGUUUCUGUACAACCAAUACCUUCCGUAUACACGCGCGGUUUCAGAGGCGGAGGCUAAGCACGCGCAGCGGAUGAAGCUGCUCUGCGGCACGGUGCUGAAAAACGUGUACGCGGCCACGUGUGAAAGCACGCGGAAUGCGUAGAAC
Molecule: unclassified non-coding RNA, 2205 nt
Filed under: Leishmania donovani
Lineage: Eukaryota; Euglenozoa; Kinetoplastea; Trypanosomatida; Trypanosomatidae
Description: gene:LdHU3.16.0370(CDS-product:protein_kinase_put ative)
Source: RNAcentral